GUGUGAAAAUUCAGUCGGUAGAACAUGAGACUCUUAAUCUCAGGGUUGUGGGUUUGAGCCUUACAUUAGGCA
Podarcis lilfordi (Lilford's wall lizard) is the source of this 72-nucleotide non-coding RNA. The record is from the annotation of a GenBank genome assembly. Lineage: Eukaryota; Metazoa; Chordata; Lepidosauria; Squamata; Lacertidae.